UACAGAGGUCUCAAGCGUUGUUCGGAUUCAUUGGGCGUAAAGAGUGUGUAGGCGGUGUUCCCAGUCUGUUGUGAAAUCUCCCGGCUUAACUGGGAGGGUGCAGCGGAAACUAGAAUGCUAGAGGGUGGGAGAGGUAAGCGGAAUUCCUGGUGUAGCGGUGAAAUGCGUAGAUAUCGGCAGGAACACCCAGGGGGAAACCAGCCGGCUGGGGACGAGCUGACGCUCAGGGGCGAAAGCGUGGGGAGCGAACCGG
This 253-nucleotide ribosomal RNA is filed under the name uncultured bacterium. Its description in RNAcentral is "partial 16S ribosomal RNA". It matches the Rfam family "Bacterial small subunit ribosomal RNA", at positions 524 to 776 of the family's 1533-position model. The record is from RNAcentral.